Long non-coding RNA from Vidua macroura (Pin-tailed whydah), 4299 nucleotides. RefSeq lists it as uncharacterized. NCBI's taxonomy places the organism in Eukaryota, Metazoa, Chordata, Aves, Passeriformes, Viduidae. The transcript has 2 exons. The record is from RefSeq and is a predicted model, not a curated record.
CGCUGCAGCAACUUGCCAAAUGAACCAUUAAAAGCAAGCCAGACUCACUGAACCACAGUAAAAUCAAUUAAUGGCUGCUUGGGGCAACAUAUGGUCUUUGAAGGUCUUUAUCUUUUUAACCAUAUUUCUCUUCCAGUGUUUGUGGCAGAGCCCUCCACCUCUCUUUCAUUUGAAUGUAAAGAGCCAUUUCAAAAACUAUAACUUCCUUUUAGUGACAAACUCAUUUAGUGGUGUGUCACUGUUCAGCUGGACCUCUACUGACAUGCAGAAAUUUGAAUUAAAGGGAGAAAACAGCUUUUACUAUUAAGGAAAAUGGAGUGUUCUUUCUGCUUUGAGAACUUCACUUAAGCCUUUUUGGCUGCUGCUCUGCCCUAUUCCCUGAGCACCCCUUUUGUGGUUGUUGUUUUUGAGGCUGAAGUUUCAGAGAUGCUAAACCAUUUUUUCUUCAUAUGACAAAAAAAAGGGAGGUGAAAACCCAAUUCCCGUAAACGGAGUUUCCACAGUUAGAGCCCACUGUGCAAACCCCAAGCAGCAGCUUGCCGGUGCCUUAGAGCAUGUGCCAACACUGCCGUCUACCUUCCACAAAGGCUUUGUGCACUUCUGCUUCUUGGUUGCUUGCGUUCAUGUGUUAACACAGCUUUGCCAAGCCUCUGUCGGCAAGUCAAGGUCCUGUAGUACUGACUUCUGGAUGGUGGCUCCACCACUUCCCUGGGCAGCUUGUUCCAAUGCCUGAGCACCCCUUCAGUGAAGAAAUCCAUCCUGAUGUCCAACAUGGCCUCCCAUAGCACAACUUGAGGUUAUGUCCUCUCCUCCUGUCAGCAGAAGCCUGGAAAACAAGCUGAUCCCCACUUUCAGGCAGCUGUAGAGAGUAAUAAGGUCAGCCCUGAGCCUCCUUUUCUGCAGGCUAAAAAUCCCCACUCCCUGAGCCUGUCCUAUAGAGCUUUACUUCUCUGGAUACAUUCCAGCAUCUCAGUGUAUUUCUUGUAGUGAGGGACCCAAAACUGAAUACAACACUCAUGGCACAGCCGUACAGGAGGACACAACCGUACAGGAGGACAAUCACUGUCCUGGGUCCUGCUGGCCACACUACUGCUGGUACGGGCCGGGAUGUCACUGGCUUUCUUGGCCACCAUGGACACACUGCUGGCUCAUGUUCAGCUGCUGCUGACCAGCAGUCCCAGGUCCUUUACCUCUGGGCUGAUUUCCAGCCCCUUGCUCCCCAGCCUGCAGUUCUGCACAGGGUUGUUGUGACCCAAGUGUGGGACCUGGCAUAUGGCCUUUUUUAACCUCAUACAAUUGUCUUUGGCCGAUAAAUCCGGGCUGUCCAGAUCUCUCUGCAGAGCCUUCCUGUCCUCAAGCAGAUCAUCUUGGUGUCAUUUGCAAAGUGACUGAGGAUACAUUUGAUCCCCUCACCCAGAUCAUCAAUGAAGAUGUUAAACAGGACCGGCCCCAGCACAGACCCCUGAGGGACAGCACUGGUGAGCAGUUACAGCUGGAUGCAGCACCUUUCACCACCACUCUCUGGGCCUGGCCAUCCAACCAGUUCUUAACCCAGUGAAGAUGCACUUGUCCAAGCCGUGGGCUGCCAGCUUUUCCAGGAGUGUGCUGUGGGAGACAGUGUCAAAGGCCUGUUGAAGUCCAAACAGAUAACAUCCACAGCCUUUCUCUCAUACUCUAGGUGGGUCACCAUGUCAUAGAAGGAAAUUGACCUGAUCAAGUAAGACUUGCCUUUCCUAAACCCAUGCUGGCUGGGCCUGAUCCCCUGCUUGUCCUGUACAUGCCACAGGAGCACACUCAAGAAAAUCUGUUCCAUAACUUUUACUGGCAUCAGGUUUAGCUGUCAUUACAUAUUCUUAUCAACCUUAUAAUUAACAUGUAUCCAUGGGUACUGCUUCAUGUUAAUGAGAUAAGGUUGUAUUUGAAGGACAAUCUUUUGUCUCCAUUAACCCAGCUGUUAGUGUGGCUGCAUACCUGGGUCAAUCAACUAACCAUAUCAUUAAACAAAAGUCCUCUUAGCUAUGCUAAUCAAAAGCAUGCUUAUCACAAUUUUUCCAAACAACCUCACUGAAACCUAAGCAAACAAACCACUUCAAGACUCAUAAACCAGUUUUACUCUGAUAUAUAAACUAUGCUUUAUGAAUGAGGAUUAAAAAGAAAAAAAAAGAUCUGAGGGAAAUUUCAUUAGCAUUAUGCAUAUAUUCCUUUAGCCAUCUCUGGUGAUGUCAUCAGCAUGGUUAAUGCUGCCUAAACAUUGUUAUUUGCUGCAUCAUUUUGAAUGUGACAGGAAACACAGGCUUUCUGCUCUGAACUGCAUCUUCUUGGAUGAGAAGAUGGUGGAUACUGAACACUGAGACAAAGCCCUUCUUAUUAAAUCCCAGAAGCAGGUUGAGGGGGUUUCUAUGUGCUUCUUGACCUCUAUGAGCAAGCAUAUGAGCAGAAGCUGAACAGAGAGUUUUAAAAAGAAGGAGAGGUAGAAUAUAUAACAUUGUCAGUGAACAGCUUCCUAGACAGCUUUUUCAGAGACGUAGAUCAGUGUAUUAAAAAAUGAGAUAACUAGCUUUAAAACUUCAUAGGUGUGGUUUAAACCCAGCAGCUAACUAAGUACUAUGCAGCUGCUUGCUCACUCCCUCUCCAGCAGGAUCAGGGAGAAAAUCUGAAAAGUAGAAGUGAAGAACCUUAUGGGCUGAUAUAAUAACAGCUUACUAGGUAAAGCAAAAGACACACAUACAAGUAAAAUAAAAUAAUUCCUUCACCACCUCCCAGAGGCAGGCAGGUGUUCAGCCAUCUUCAAGAAAGCAGGGUUCCACCAUGCAUAGCAGUGACUUCAAAAGACAAAUACCCUCCCCCUUGAUUCCUGCUUCUUCACCCAGCUUUAUAUAUUGAGCAUGAUACCACAGGGUGUGGAAUACCCCUUGAGUCCACUGAGGCCAGCUGUACUGACAGUGUCCUGUCUUCUCCCAACUCCUUCUGUACCCCCAGUCUCCUCCCUGGUGGUGAGGGUGAGGAGCAGCAAAGGCCUUGGCUCUGUAGAAACCCUGCUCAGCAGAAACAGAAAGUGCUUUAUAUUAUCAUCACUGUUGUAAGUGCAAAUCCAAAACACAGCCCCAUACUGACCACUGUAAAGAAAACUACUCCAGCCAAACCUACUAUAUUCUCUACUCCUUACUUCAUGCAAUUUAUGUAAUGCUGUAGUCCUACAUGAUUUAAUAGAAUCCCAUUGACACCCCCCAUUCCCUCUCCAUCCUUUGAUAUAAUACACAGAUAUCAUUCCCUUAGUCUAUGGACAGCCCCUGCAAAAGCCCACUUAAUGUUAACAUAUGUCCAUAGAAUGCCAGCUGAAUUAAUUUCAGGGCCCAUGAGCUGGGGCUCUGUCUGUUCUGCUGGUCACUCAGGUUAGGAGAGGAGAGGUGAGCUGGUGUGGUACUGUGGUCAGCUCAGGUGAAGUCACUGCUGCAUUUGCACUGUUUAUUGUAGGACUUGUCCUCCAUUGGUUCAUGUAGCUCCUAUUACAGUAAUUCCUGUAAGCAAAACUCAAAUAAUGCAUUACAACAAUUUAAAGGCAGAUCCAUUACUAUUUCCAGCCCUAGGCAUUUUGUGCCAGAUUGAAGGGUUUAAGAGUGUAAUGAACUCCUCACCUUGCUUCUAGUCUGCCUAGAAACAGGGUUCCUGCUAUAGCAAUUACAGGGCCCCACACAGACCUCCAUGGGAUGCAGAGGGGAAGCCUGCCUGACCAUAGCUUCACCAUGGGCUACAGGAGAAUCUCUGCUUCAUCACCUGGCCCACCUCCUGGACUCUCCUUCUUCUUCAGGAAAAGGACUUCUCACACUCUUCCCCUGUACCGUGGACUCAUCCACAGGUCACAGUCCCUUUGGCUCAAGUUCACACUGGAAUUCCAACCUGUCCAGUACAGCAGCAGAGCUGCAAUGCCCUGGCCAGCUGCCAGCCCAGGCGCAACGUGGCUGUUAUCAAAAUGCUCCCAGGCACAGCACAGUGAGAUAAGAAGCAUAGCACUACAGCAAACAGCCACCAACAAGCACUGGAUUGCAACACAGCAUCAGGCAAGUGACCCCUGUGGGCAAGCACUGGAGCCUGCUGAUUAAUAAUUUAACAGCCAUAGCAGCUGUAAGUUUCAUCUAGCACAUUCCAAUCUAGUCUAUCAUAAUCAGAGUUUUUUAAGCCCCACAUUAGGACCAAAGAAGGACUGUUGUGGUUUAACCCCAGCCAGCAACUAAACACCCCAUAACUACUUGCUCACAGCACUGUGGUGGGAUGGGGAAGAGAACUGGAAGGGUAAAAGUG